Molecule: ribosomal RNA, 260 nt
Filed under: uncultured bacterium
Lineage: Bacteria
Description: partial 16S ribosomal RNA
Rfam family: Bacterial small subunit ribosomal RNA
Source: RNAcentral
CCGGCGCACGGGUGAGUAACGCGUAUGCAACUUACCUAUCAGAGGGGGAUAACCCGGCGAAAGUCGGACUAAUACCGCAUGAAGCAGGGGCCCCGCAUGGGGAUAUUUGCUAAAGAUUCAUCGCUGAUAGAUAGGCAUGCGUUCCAUUAGGCAGUUGGCGGGGUAACGGCCCACCAAACCGACGAUGGAUAGGGGUUCUGAGAGGAAGGUCCCCCACAUUGGUACUGAGACACGGACCAAACUCCUACGGGAGGCAGCAG